AGCAGUGGGGAAUAUUGGACAAUGGGCGCAAGCCUGAUCCAGCCAUGCCGCGUGUGUGAAGAAGGCCUUAGGGUUGUAAAGCACUUUCAGGAGUGAGGAAGGGCUUAUAGUUAAUACCUGUAUGUUUUGACGUUAACUCCAGAAGAAGCACCGGCUAACUCUGUGCCAGCAGCCGCGGUAAUACAGAGGGUGCGAGCGUUAAUCGGAAUUACUGGGCGUAAAGCGCGCGUAGGCGGUUUGUUAAGUCGGAUGUGAAAUCCCAGGGCUCAACCUUGGAAUGGCACCCGAUACUGGCAGGCUAGAGUACGGUAGAGGGGUGUGGAAUUUCCUGUGUAGCGGUGAAAUGCGUAGAUAUAGGAAGGAACACCAGUGGCGAAAGCGAC
This 383-nucleotide ribosomal RNA is filed under the name uncultured Gammaproteobacteria bacterium. RNAcentral describes it as "bacterial SSU rRNA". It matches the Rfam family "Bacterial small subunit ribosomal RNA", at positions 350 to 725 of the family's 1533-position model. The record is from RNAcentral. Lineage: Bacteria; Pseudomonadati; Pseudomonadota; Gammaproteobacteria.